CCUCGCUCACUCAGCCUAGCGCUACCCGACCACCCACGCAAUACCACCAGACGCAGCACCACCGCGCCACCACCUCCUCCUCCUCCUUUCUUCUUCUUCUUCUUCUUCUUCUUCUUUCUUUCUUUACUUUCUUUUCUUUCUUUUUCUUCCCUGCGCCUGUGACUCCACUGCUGGCAGAAGAGGAUCGCGCCUCCACCAGCCCGAGCAGAGCCGUCGCGCGCCAGCACUACUCCUCUGCCGCUCCUCGUCGCUUCACGCUAGCAGCGGCGCUCCGCCCUCUACCAGAUCGCACAGCGCACAGCAGCAGCACGAUCUCCAGCUAGUCAUGCCGCCGCCAGCCUUCUGCAGUAAUGCCACAGCCCGCCGCUGCCACUGUCGUCGCUCCAGCGCGCCUCCGACAGGUUCGAUCUGUCGCCGCCGCCUCUCUGCCACUGCCAGUCGGAUCCGGCCAUCUGCUUGCACUUCCAGCGCACAUAGCUCCGAUUCGGCACGCGUAAAUCCCCGAUCUAGCCAAAUUCGACAAAAAAUUAUAUUUGGGUAAUAGAAGAAAGUCCAAUGGAGUCGAAACAUUAAUUAUAGAAGACUGUUAAUGAGAAAAUAAUGAUGUAAAUGUACAGGUAGAGUUUCGCAAUUGUAUUCCAAAUGGAUUGUAAAUAAAUAAAUAGAGUAUAGACAUUUAUUAUAUGGAUUGUACUUGGAUGUAUUUGAGAAAUAAAUUAUUGGGCCUGAAUCCACAAUUGUGAAUA
Jatropha curcas is the source of this 746-nucleotide non-coding RNA. Lineage: Eukaryota; Viridiplantae; Streptophyta; Magnoliopsida; Malpighiales; Euphorbiaceae. The record is from RefSeq and is a predicted model, not a curated record.